RNAcentral lists this non-coding RNA (27 nucleotides) under Homo sapiens (human). The record is from RNAcentral. Lineage: Eukaryota; Metazoa; Chordata; Mammalia; Primates; Hominidae.
UAGGGAAGCAAGUGACGGUUGAGCCAU